Molecule: ribosomal RNA, 468 nt
Filed under: Triticum aestivum (bread wheat)
Lineage: Eukaryota; Viridiplantae; Streptophyta; Magnoliopsida; Poales; Poaceae
Description: partial small subunit ribosomal RNA
Source: RNAcentral
AUGGGCCAGCUGAUGGUAGGGCCAGCAGUGGCUGAGGUGGAGUGCCAAGAUCUCAUUUGCUUCUCUCCUUCGGAGGACAGAGGUGAAAAUCGGAUUAGAGAUGGGGAGGAUUUGGGCCUAGCCGGCCUAGCCCAGGAGCUGCAGGCUUCCAUGGGCCUUCCCCUAUGCAGGCUUUCGCUGGAGGAAGCCCUGGAUAGGCAGCCGAACACUGAGGCCCCAAGCAUGGAUGUGGCUGCGAACGGCCUUCUCUUGGCCUGUCCUGCUUCUGCCCCUGUGGAUAGACCCCAAGAUUCCACAGCGGUGCUGCAAGAUUUCCUCUGCUGCUUCGCCUCCCCUGCCCCAGCUCCAAUCCUGCCGACCCCCUGGUGGCGGCGCCUGCUGCUAGAGAGAAGAGGGGCAAGGAGGCGGCGGAGACCGCCACGAUCCGCUCCAGUGGUCGGCAUGCGGCCAAGCCCACAAGCAAGAUGA